Molecule: ribosomal RNA, 401 nt
Filed under: uncultured bacterium
Lineage: Bacteria
Description: bacterial SSU rRNA
Rfam family: Bacterial small subunit ribosomal RNA
Source: RNAcentral
GAGGAAUUUUCCGCAAUGGGGGAAACCCUGACGCAGCAACGCCGCGUGGAGGAUGAAGUAUCUCGGUACGUAAACUCCUUUCGAUGGGGAAGAUAAUGACGGUACCCAUAGAAGAAGCCCCGGCUAACUUCGUGCCAGCAGCCGCGGUAAUACGAGGGGGGCAAGCGUUGUUCGGAUUUAUUGGGCGUAAAGGGUGCGUAGGCGGUUUGGCAAGUCUUAUGUGAAAUCUAUGGGCUCAACCCAUAGUCUGCAUGAGAAACUACCGGGCUUGAGUGAUGGAGAGGUGAGCGGAAUUCCUGGUGUAGCGGUGAAAUGCGUAGAUAUCAGGAGGAACACCUGUGGCGAAAGCGGCUCACUGGACCAUAACUGACGCUGAGGCACGAAAGCUAGGGGAGCAAACA